AUGUGCCUUUGCCAUGCUGGAUCAUGCCAAGCAGUACUGCCUGAGGUUUUGCAAAAUGAGGCUGGCACGGAGAUGAUGGGAAACACAACGUUGAAAUGGCACUUACAGCAUCCCAGAGGACCAUUCAAAGCAACAAAAAAACCUGGUGAUGUCCUUAAAGACUGCAGAUGGUUUCUUCAAGAUAUCUGUCACUUCUCUGGGGGAUAUUAA
Molecule: long non-coding RNA, 210 nt
Filed under: Cyanistes caeruleus (blue tit)
Lineage: Eukaryota; Metazoa; Chordata; Aves; Passeriformes; Paridae
Description: lncRNA (ENSCCEG00000016467.1)
Source: RNAcentral